Molecule: transfer RNA, 87 nt
Filed under: Candidatus Cloacimonadota bacterium
Lineage: Bacteria; Pseudomonadati; Candidatus Cloacimonadota
Description: tRNA-Leu
Rfam family: tRNA
About the family: Transfer RNA (tRNA) molecules are approximately 80 nucleotides in length.
Source: RNAcentral
GCGAAAGUGGUGAAAUUGGCAGACACGCUGGAUUUAGGUUCCAGUGGGAGCAAUCCUAUGGGGGUUCGAGUCCCCCCUUUCGCACCA